Dalotia coriaria is the source of this 535-nucleotide long non-coding RNA. RefSeq lists it as uncharacterized. The record is from RefSeq and is a predicted model, not a curated record. Lineage: Eukaryota; Metazoa; Arthropoda; Insecta; Coleoptera; Staphylinidae. The transcript has 2 exons.
AAAUUAAUGGCAUUUGCAAAUUAAUUCACAUGGAAUACAAAAUUAUAAUAAUUUUAUUCUUAUUAUUUCAUGGUUGUUUAUAUGUGGAUAGUAGCUACUCAGGAGAAUGUCGGGAUGACAGGAGUAAUAGAAAUAGCACAGUAUUUUUACGAGGUUAUUGCUACCUCUUUGGAAAAUGCAUACCAAUAUUUUGUGAGUGUGGAAGAGACAUCAGAGAACUCACCUGAUUGUGCUGUGUUUUCUCAUCUUGCAUCUUCAUGAUAGGUAUAAGGCCAUUUUCACUCUGUUGGCGUUUUUGUUCAACUUCAUGCACCAAUGUGUAAAGAGCAUUUAAACGAUCUUGCACUUGCUGUGCGGCUUGUGCAUCUGAUGAAAAUGCCAUUUUGAAAUUUAAUUUCAAUUAUUCAAACAAGAUUUAUUGAAAAAUCGCGACAAGACUAUUGCAUGAUACCAAGAUGACACCACAAUCAAUAACAAUAUCUGUAAAUUGAUGUUAAGAGCAUAUUAAAUCAAAUAAAUUGAUUAUAUUAGUGCA